GUAGCGUAAUCAUUUGUUUUUUAAUUAAAAACUGGUAUGAAAGGUUUAACAAGUAAAAUAAGUUUAAAGUAAUAAAAUAAAAUUUAUAAUUUAUGUAAAAAUACAUAAGUGAAUAAAAGGGACGAUAAGACCCUAAAAGCUUUAUUAUUAAAUAUUUUUUAUUAUUGUUAGUAUUUGGAGGAUAUAAAAUAAUUUAACUGGGGUAGUUGUUUUUUUUACAAAUAUUUUUAUUAACAUUUAGGGUUGGAGAUCCUUUAUAUUAGGAUAAUUAGUAAAAGUUACUUUAGGGAUAACAGCAUAAUAAUAAUGGGGAGCUCUUAUUUAUAUUAUUGAUUUUGACCUCGAUGUUGAAUUAAAUUUCUUUAUAAAGUAGAAAUUAUAUUUGAAAGUUUGUUCAACUUUUAAAAUUUU
RNAcentral lists this ribosomal RNA (411 nucleotides) under Mizuhorchestia urospina. RNAcentral describes it as "partial 16S ribosomal RNA". Lineage: Eukaryota; Metazoa; Arthropoda; Malacostraca; Amphipoda; Talitridae. The record is from RNAcentral.